Molecule: ribosomal RNA, 443 nt
Filed under: uncultured bacterium
Lineage: Bacteria
Description: partial 16S ribosomal RNA
Rfam family: Bacterial small subunit ribosomal RNA
Source: RNAcentral
CCUACGGGAGACAGCAGUGGGGAAUAUUGCACAAUGGGGGAAACCCUGAUGCAGCAACGCCGCGUGAAGGAAGACGGUUUUCGGAUUGUAAACUUCUAUCAAUAGGGAAGAAAGAAAUGACGGUACCUAAAUAAUAAGCCCCGGCGAACUACGUGCCAGCAGCCGAGGUAAUACGUAGGGGGCAAGCGUUAUCCGGAAUUACUGGGUGUAAAGGGAGAGUAGGCGGCAAGGUAAGCGAUAUGUGAAAGCCUUAAGCUUAACUAAAGGAUUGCAUAACGAACUAUCUAGCUAGAGUACAGGAGAGGAAAGCGGAAUUCCUGGUGUAGCGGUGAAAUGCGUAGAUAUUAGGAAGAACACCAGUGGCGAAGGCGGCUUUCUGGACUGAAACUGACGCUGAGGCUCGAAAGCGUGGGGAGCGAACAGGAUUAGAUACCCUGGUAGUC